Molecule: ribosomal RNA, 468 nt
Filed under: uncultured bacterium
Lineage: Bacteria
Description: partial 16S ribosomal RNA
Rfam family: Bacterial small subunit ribosomal RNA
Source: RNAcentral
GACGAACGCUGGCGGCGUGCUUAACACAUGCAAGUUGAACGGUAAGGCUCUGUUCUUGCGGCGUGCUCGAGUGCAGAACGGGUGAGUAACACGUGAGUAAACUGCCCUUGACUUCGGGAUAACUUAUGGAAACUCGGGCUCUUAUACGAUAGGAGCUCUUUAUGCAUAGUGGGUGAGGGAGAAAUUCGGCGGUUGAGGAGGGACUGGCGGUCUAGCAGUUUAUUGGUGGGGUAGUGGCGUACAAAGGCUUUGACGGGUAGCCGGCCUGCGAAGGUGACAGGCCACAUUGGGAUUCAGAUGCCACCCAGACUCCUACUGCAGGCAGCAGUGGAAGAUAGUGCAAACUGGGCGGAAGCCGGAUGCAGCGUCGCCGCGUGCGAGAUGACGGCCUUCGGGUUGUAAACCUCGUGCGCCUGUGACGAAGCGUAAGUGACGGUAAUGGGUAAAGAAGCACCGGCUAACUACGUG